This 554-nucleotide ribosomal RNA is filed under the name uncultured Tetracladium. RNAcentral describes it as "eukaryotic LSU rRNA". The stretch from base 192 to 345 matches the Rfam family "5.8S ribosomal RNA". Lineage: Eukaryota; Fungi; Ascomycota. The record is from RNAcentral.
UCCGUAGGUGAACCUGCGGAAGGAUCAUUACCGAGUUCAUGCCCUUCGGGGUAGAUCUCCCACCCUUUGUAUACUAUACCUUUGUUGCUUUGGCGGGCCGCCUAGCUACUGGCUUCGGCUGGUAAGUGCCCGCCAGAGAACCCAAAACCCUGAAUUAUUAGUGUCGUCUGAGUAAAAUAUUUAAUAUUUAAAACUUUCAACAACGGAUCUCUUGGCUCUGGCAUCGAUGAAGAACGCAGCGAAAUGCGAUAAGUAAUGUGAAUUGCAGAAUUCAGUGAAUCAUCGAAUCUUUGAACGCACAUUGCGCCCCUUAGUAUUCCGAGGGGCAUGCCUAUUCGAGCGUCAUUAUCACCCCUCAAGCCUAGCUUGGUGUUGAGACCUGCUGUCAAGGCAGUCUCUAAAAUCAGUGGCAGUGCUGUCAGGCUCUAAGCGUAGUAAAUUCAUCGCUAUAGACACCUGGUGGCCACUCGCCAGAACCCCCCCCAUUUUUUAAUGAUUGACCUCGGAUUAGGUAGGGAUACCCGCUGAACUUAAGCAUAUCAAUAAGCGGAGGA